GUAGGUGAACCUGCGGAAGGAUCAUUCAUAAUAAGUGUUUUAUGGCACUUUUUAAAUCCAUAUCCACCUUGUGUGCAAUGUCGGUCGAUCUUCUUCAUGGAGAUCGACCAAACAUCAACCUUUAUCUUUUAACUCUUUGUCUGAAAAAUAUUAUGAAUAAACAAUUCAAAAUACAACUUUCAACAACGGAUCUCUUGGCUCUCGCAUCGAUGAAGAACGCAGCAUCUGACUGACUACGUGGUUACGUAUC
RNAcentral lists this unclassified non-coding RNA (250 nucleotides) under plant metagenome. RNAcentral's name for it is "partial contains small subunit ribosomal RNA, internal transcribed spacer 1, and 5.8S ribosomal RNA". The stretch from base 175 to 250 matches the Rfam family "5.8S ribosomal RNA", at positions 1 to 66 of the family's 154-position model. The record is from RNAcentral.